GACGAACGCUGGCGGCGUGCCUAAUACAUGCCAGUUGAGCGCUGAAGGUUGGUACUUGUACCGACUGGAUGAGCAGCGAACGGGUGAGUAACGCGUGGGGAAUCUGCCUUUGAGCGGGGGACAACAUUUGGAAACGAAUGCUAAUACCGCAUAAAAACUUUAAACACAAGAUUUAAGUUUGAAAGAUGCAAUUGCAUCACUAAAAGAUGAUCCCGCGUUGUAUUAGCUAGUUGGUGAGGUAAAGGCUCACCAAGGCGAUGAUACAUAGCCGACCUGAGAGGGUGGACGGCCACAUUGGGACUGAGACACGGCUCAAACUCCUACGGGAGGCAGCAGUAGGGAAUCUUCGGCAAUGGACGAAAGUCUGACCGAGCAACGCCGCGGGAGGGAAGAAGGGUUUCGGAGCGUAAAAGUCUGUUGGUAGAGAAGAAAGUUGGUGAGAGUGGAAAGCUCAUCAAGUGACGGUAACUAAACAGAAAGGGACGGCUAACUACGUG
RNAcentral lists this ribosomal RNA (497 nucleotides) under uncultured bacterium. RNAcentral's name for it is "partial 16S ribosomal RNA". It matches the Rfam family "Bacterial small subunit ribosomal RNA", at positions 28 to 507 of the family's 1533-position model. The record is from RNAcentral.